Molecule: long non-coding RNA, 3945 nt
Organism: Anolis carolinensis (green anole)
Lineage: Eukaryota; Metazoa; Chordata; Lepidosauria; Squamata; Anolidae
Source: Ensembl
AUGUGUUGUAUGUGGUGUUGUAAUGUGUGCUGUGAUGGUGGCAAAGAUGGUAUUGCUGCUGAUAAAAGCAAAGGACUGUGUUUUGUAUGUUUUGUUUAUAUAAAUCUUUCUUUACCAAAGGACAGUUUUGUUUUGGAGUUUUUCUCCUUGGACGAGGGUGCAACUUCCGCAGAAGGGGUUGAGAGUUUGGAACCCAAUUGGCUGGCUAGCUGCGACACAGACAAUGGUUUGAAAUUCAAGUUUUCUUCUUCUCUGAAUAUAUUUGUUGUUGUUGUUAUUAUUAUUAUUAUUUUAUUAUGACACAGCAAACAAGAUAGAUAUGCUGGAUUUCGUUUCACAAAAUCACAAGUCGAACACUUCCCAAGUGUCUAGGACUGUGUGAUGUAUUUUCAGAUGAUGCAUGCAGAUCCCAGUAGGGUGGCCUUUUGCAGUUGGCAGAUCGUGAUUUUGUCAAUGUCUAUUGUUUCUAAAUGCCGGCUGAGAUCUUUUGGCACAGCACCCAAUGCGCCGAUCAUCAUCAUCAUCAUCAUCAUCAUCAUCAUCAUUAUUAUUAUUAUAAUUAUAUUAUAUUAUGACACAGCAAACAAGAUAGAUAUGCUGGAUUUCGUUUCACAAAAUCACAAGUCGAACACUUCCCAAGUGUCUAGGACUGUGUGGUGUAUUUUCGGAUGAUGCGCGCAGAUCCCAGCAGGGUGGCCUUUUGCAGUUGGCAGAUCGUAAUUUUGUCAAUGUCUAUUGUUUCCAAAUGCCGGCUGAGAUCUUUUGGCACGGCACCCAAUGUGCCCAUUACCACCGGGACCACCUGUACUGGUUUCUGCCAGAGUCUUUGAAGUUCAAUCUUGAGGUCCUGAUAGCGGCUGAGUUUUUCCUGUUGUUUUUCGUCAAUGCGACUGUCACCUGGGAUGGCAACAUCAAUGAUCCAAACCUUUUUCUUUUCCACAACUGUGAUGUCUGGUGUGUUGUGUUCCAGAACUUUGUCAGUCUGGAUUCGAAAGUCCCGUAGUAUCUUUGCUUGCUCAUUUUCCAAUAAUUUUGCAGGUUUGUGAUCCCACCAGUUCUUUGCUGCUGGGAGGUGGUACUUGAGGCAUAAGUUCCAAUGAAUCAUUUGGGCCACAUAGUUGUGCCUCUGUUUGUAGUCUGUCUGUGCAAUUUUCUUACAGCAGCUGAGGAUAUGAUCAAUGGUUUCGUCGGUUUCCUUGCACAGUCUGCAUUUUGGCUAACAGUGGGAGCUCACCCCACUACCUGGAUUCUAACUGCGGACCUUUCAGUCAGCAAGUUCAGCAGCUCAGCAGUUUAACCAGCUGCACUACUGGGGACUCCCAGGACGAACCAACUAAUAAAAAGCUUUGAAGAGUUUAAAGAAGUCUUGCCUGAAUUAGCACCUUGCUUAUCUAGUUCUAUCUUGUGUUUCUUCUUAUUGUCGUUUUUCAUCUGUCUCUUGUAAAAAGAGCUCCAAUGUUAACAUACUAAUUGUGCUUCUCUCUAGCCUUCCUCUACACCUUCCAACUCCAAAAUGGAUGAUUCCAGGGGAAACAAUUCGGUCUGGUUUUGAGGUUCUGCCCCUGGGGAGGAUUCUUAAAGGGGCAGGGGAAGGGGAUGUCUUAAAGGGAAGGGGCUAACUUUGGAUCCCUCUAACAACAGCUGUUUACAGUACAGGCUUAAACCUUCCUAACUAGGGAAGAAAAUAGAGGAGGUUUCUGUGGGAACACGACAGUGCCUAUGCACCAACACUAGAUGCUGAUGAAGACAUCUGGGGGAAAAAUUACUAUCAGCUGGACACCAUCUUGUGGGAGAUAGCUAAGGAGGACAACAUCAUCCUCCUGGGUGAUUUUAAUGUGAGAGUUGGAUGAGACUUUGACCUGUGGUCAGGGACCAUAAGAAAAGAUGGGGUUGGAAACAACUCGAAUGGCAUCCUGCUUCUCACCAAAUGUGUGGAACACAAUCUUGUCCAGAAACAUAUGUAUUGUACCUCUAACAUAUUUGGGAUUUUGGAAUUCCUGAUGAAGCCUGUAGGAUGCUUUAUCAUAAGUAAAUUCUACUCUGGAGAGACUUAUUCCUGUGUGAAAGAUUAGAAGGAGCCACAAAGAUGACAUGUGGUAACCACUUUAUUUGGGUUGGCUGGUGGAUCCAAUGCAGUGGGUAUAUACACCCUGAAUUUUACUAUUGUUCAUCUUGCAUUUUUUGAAUGGAAACUUGCUCAUGCUGGACUCUAGUGGUUGUUGUUCUACCGUUUCCCCACUGAGGACUUGAAGCAGCUUACAAAAUAUAAAACACAUAUAGCUACAGAAUUUUACAUCAUACAAAAAUAACAAAAACAAUUAAAGCAUCUCCCCCACUUCAUGAAAGAAUAUAUAUAUUUAAAUAAAUCAAAAUGGAAAUAAUUAAUUUAAAAAUCUAUAUGGUGAAGUAUUUCAUUUUCACACAUCCUCUCCCACCGUUUCUGUGUCACCCGGGGCUCAUUUAUACCAGACAGUUAUUUUACCAGAUCUCAUAAACAGACUGUCCUGGACCAAGUAUCAAGAAUUGCAAUAGAAGAGAAGUAGCCACAUGUUUUGGUUACUUCUCUUCUAUUGCAAUUGGAGAGAAGGGGAUUAAUUCAUUAUAUGCCACUAUUACAUUAACCUUGGAGAAGAUAUUUGAGAGCAUCUACUUGGGCAUCCUUUGAAGUGUCCUGUUCAGAAUCAGGCUAAUAAUUCCACCAAUAAUGUACAUAGCUAUUUUCCAUGUUCUCUCUAUUUAUCCACAGAACAACCUGUAAGGCAGACCUGAGAGGUAGGGAGCGGUGAAAGCAACCAAGUAUGCUUUGUGAGCUGAGGGAUUUGAAUUGGGAUCUCCCUAUGCCAUGACCAGCAUUUUAAAUACUACAUAUGCUGCUUUCUUACAAUAGUUCCUAUAUGAAUAAGGUCAAGGCUGAAGCAUAGUGGUAGAGCUUAUUAUAUAGACAGUCAAUGAUACUGUCAUGCAAUGUAAAACAAACUCUCUAGAUAAAGAGAUCUGAAACAUGGUAGCCCUUACACUGGCUUUAAUAUCCCUGUUUUCAUCAAACCUAACUAGAACAGGCCAUGUAGCAGGUUACUGUAAGCAAAUUUGAAAAGGGGAACUGGACACCCUAAGAUCAGACUCAGAUGCUUUCUAACAAGGCUUGCCAGAACAGUCAGAAUGCUGUAAGAUUUCCAUCUUAGCAUCCCUUAGGGCCCCUCAUUAAAUAAGCUGAAGCAUUUUCAAGUGUCAUUUAGAGUAUAACAGCUGUCUAACUAUUUUUUAUAAACAAUUACAUUGUCCUAAUUGCUAAGUAUGCUAGAAGAACAUAUCCCUUCAGAAUAAAGAGAUUGCUAUAUUUAUUAUAUGCUAUUAAAAUCCCUAGAACACUGCUUAAAACACACAGUUGUGGGCAGUAGCAUCUUGAAUACAGUAUAUCCAAAAUCAAGUCCUUCAGACUUGUGCUGUCAUUUUUUCUCCUCUUAACCAUUCAGAAACUGAAACAUGUUUCCUCCUUUGGAAAUAAUGUCUCUAUGUCUAUCCCUGAUUCAUAUAAUGAACAAAUUGCUGUUAGAAGUAGAUAGUCUCCUGUAUUUUCCUUAAUCUUUUGUUCCCAUCAUCCCUUCAGAGUGCAAAGAGAAAUGAAAAGUACAAGGGGUGACUUUAUUGCUAAGCUGGAGUAGAGAUAAUUCUCUGUAAGGAAAAAUGAGCAGUUAAUAGUGUUAAUUGAUGUGCUAAUAGUGUGAUUCUGGCCCCAUUCUUUAUUCUCUAGAGGUUUUUGAAAAUAUAAUUUUCACUGCAUUCAAAUCUGCAAGCAAAGAUGUUUGCUUCAUCUUCAUGCAGAGUGAGAAGUAAAUAUAAAGCCACCAGAACUAAAUGGAUCUUGAAUAAAACUGUAGCUAGGUAAAGAUUCUCAAGGGAAUUACCACAGAUUAUCAUAACAGCCAUUUAACUAGUGAUAGCUGG